GUCAAGGGAUCAAAGGAGAAAUUCGGUAAGAGAUUGGCUCGCGUUCAAUUAGUUAGUUGGUGUGAUAACACCCCACCAAGGCGACGAUUAGUAGCCGUCAUGAGAGGGCGAUCCGCCACAUUGGCGAUGCGAAACCCUCCAUCCUCCUACGGGCGGCAGCAGUGGAUAAUAUUCGACAAUGGGCGACAUCAUGCCCCAGCACCGCCGCGUGAGGGAAGACGUUUUUCGGGUAGUCAUCUUUUAUCAUAUAGGACGAGGAAGAUGCCGGUCCCAUAGGAGGAAGCCCCGGUUAAUUACGUCCCACCACCCGCGGUAAUACUUAGGGGCCAAGCUUUUUCCGGAAUGUUUGGGGGUAAAAGGUGUGUAGGCGUCUUGAUAAUUUUGGAGUGAAAGUCCUGCUUCCAAGCUGGGUAUUCCUUUGGUUAGUGCUAGGUUUGAGUCCAUGAGAGGGAAGGGAAUUUACCGGGGUAGCGGUGAAAUGGCUAGUAUUCGGUAGGAAACACCAGUUGGCGAAGGCGGCUUUCUGGAUUGAAACUGACGCUGAGGCGCGACAGCGUGGGGAGCAAACAGGAUUAGAUACCCUCGUAGUCCCACGCCGUAAGCGAGGAGUGCUAAGUGUUAGAGGGUUUCCGCCCUUUAGUGUUGCAGCUAACGCAUUAAGCACUCCGCGUGGGGAGUAGGACCGCAAGGUUGAAACUCAAAGGAAUUGACGGGGGCCCGCACAAGUGGUGGAGCAUGUGGUUUAAUUUGAAGCAACGCGAAGAACCUUAGCAGGUCUUGACAUCGUCUGUCAUUCCUAGAGAUAGGACGUUCCCCCUCGGGGGACAGAGUGACAGGUGGUGCAUGGUUGUUGUCAGCUGGUGUAGUGAGAUGUUGGGUUAAGUCCCGCAACGAGCGCUACC
Molecule: ribosomal RNA, 902 nt
Filed under: uncultured bacterium
Lineage: Bacteria
Description: bacterial SSU rRNA
Rfam family: Bacterial small subunit ribosomal RNA
Source: RNAcentral